Long non-coding RNA from Oncorhynchus tshawytscha (Chinook salmon), 1017 nucleotides. RefSeq lists it as uncharacterized. The transcript is spliced from 2 exons. The record is from RefSeq and is a predicted model, not a curated record. NCBI's taxonomy places the organism in Eukaryota, Metazoa, Chordata, Actinopteri, Salmoniformes, Salmonidae.
CAUCUCCUGCCACCCAGAUAACCACUUACAAGCAAAACAAAAAAAUACUUCCGGUGUAUUUGGGUCUGAAAAUAUAUGUUAUCCCGAUGCAAGCAGAAAACAAACAGCCAUUCAUUUCUCAGCGGUGUAGGCUAGGGUAACGCAACCUCUUUGAUAACAUCCGGAAAUCAGUAACGUCUCCUCUCGUCACGUUCGCCAGCCGGAAAUAACAUUGUUGCCCACAACUGGAUUAAUCAUUAUUUAAUACCGUGGAUCGAUUAUCACUGCGAACUACUGUCCUGUCCACCUGGACCAGAACAAUAAAAACGGAACAUAGCUUUGUGUGUCAACUAGAUAACAGUCAGUCGCCGAGGCACAACUCACACCAUCCAACUAACUAAACAAAUCGAGGCCAAUAAAGGACAUGAAAAUGGACACCUCCAAGCCAGCGACCAGACACCCCCUCUACCAGUAACACACACCGGUACCCGGGCUCUACAGGUCUCCAUGACGCCGGUGUAAGCUAGCCAGCUAACAAAGGCCCUAGCUGUCUGACUAGAGCGGAAUACGGCAACAACCGGAGGCGGCAGGGGAGGGAGGAAGCAACACAGCUUUUAAAAUAACCCACAAAACGUGUGUUUACGGCCCGGUAAAGGCAAUACAUCGGGCGAUGUGUUGUUUGAGGCGGCUAGAGGCACACUGUGCCCCCGGGUGAGGGCUACUUACAGGCGGAGAGGGCGGAUGGUUGAAGAUUUCAGCCCCGGUUCUCUAUCCAGAUUUCCAGGCUUUCACUCCGACAACAUGGCGGCUCGGAGGGGAGCAGAGACAGGCAGACGCGGUGCAUCAUGGGAACGGAGGAGAGCAGAGAGAGUGCGGUUCAUUGCGCCAACUGGGAGGGGAGGGUCUCUCACCAGUCCCUUUGUUAUACAUACGUGUGGCUCUGUUGACAUCCGUUGUUCUCUCACAUUGGGCAAAAAUACACUAAUGAUCUCAAAUACAUUCAUAUAAAGAUUAUAGUGGUGUCUAUAACACUGGUUA